RNAcentral lists this transfer RNA (76 nucleotides) under Saprospiraceae bacterium. Its description in RNAcentral is "tRNA-Pro". It matches the Rfam family "tRNA". Rfam says of the family: Transfer RNA (tRNA) molecules are approximately 80 nucleotides in length. The record is from RNAcentral. Lineage: Bacteria; Pseudomonadati; Bacteroidota; Saprospiria; Saprospirales; Saprospiraceae.
AGGGAAGAGGUGCAAUAGGAAGCAUGAGCGCUUUGGAAGCGCGGGGCUGUGGGUUCGAAUCCCGCCUUCCCUACCA